Regulatory RNA element from Clostridium cadaveris, 162 nucleotides. It matches the Rfam family "M-box riboswitch aptamer (ykoK leader)". From Rfam's summary of the family: M-box riboswitch, also know as ykoK leader is described as a metaloregulatory RNA that sense divalent metals and function as a genetic control element of genes related to divalent metal transport in bacteria. It was first reported upstream of the B.subtilis ykoK gene and genes with related functions in other bacteria. Lineage: Bacteria; Bacillati; Bacillota; Clostridia; Eubacteriales; Clostridiaceae. The record is from Rfam.
AUAAAACCUCGGUAGGUGAGGUUACUACAAGGAUACGGGUUGAUGCCGUGAAAGAAUGGAAACAUUUUUAACAGGUUAGCAGGUUUGGCCGAACAAAGAAGGCUUAAUCUAAUUCAACUUCAUUGCCUUGCAGAGCCAAAACUUGAACGAAACGUAUUUUUA